This 449-nucleotide ribosomal RNA is filed under the name uncultured bacterium. RNAcentral's name for it is "partial 16S ribosomal RNA". It matches the Rfam family "Bacterial small subunit ribosomal RNA", at positions 29 to 523 of the family's 1533-position model. The record is from RNAcentral.
AGCGAACGCUGGCGGCAGGCCUAAAACAUGCAAGUCGAACGCCGUAGCAAUACGGAGUGGCAGACGGGUGAGUAACACGUGGGAACGUGCCCUUUGGUUCGGAACAACACAGGGAAACUUGUGCUAAUACCGGAUAAGCCCUUACGGGGAAAGAUUUAUCGCCGAAGGAUCGGCCCGCGUCUGAUUAGCUAGUUGGUGGGGUAACGGCCCACCAAGGCUACGAUCAGUAGCUGGUCUGAGAGGAUGAUCAGCCACACUGGGACUGAGACACGGCCCAGACUCCUACGGGAGGCAGCAGUUAGGAAUCUUGGACAAUGGGCGCAAGCCUGAUCCAGCCAUGCCGCGUGAGUGAUGAAGGCCUUAGGGUUGUAAAGCUCUUUCAGCGGGGAAGAUAAUGACGGUACCCGCAGAAGAAGCCCCGGCUAACUUCGUGCCAGCCGCCGCAGUAA